GCUCUCGAUCAAUGGCUGAAGGACUUAGGCUUCAAGCCUUCCUUGGUUUUAGCGACCAUCUUUGUAGCAAUGGUCCUCAGGUUUCUACCGAAGGAAAAACAAAGGAAAAAAUACCUCAAUCUCCCACCAGGGCCUGGAAAGUUGCCCUUCAUUGGCAACCUUCACCAGCUGGCUAACAUGCCUCACAUAUCUCUCCACCGGUUGGCUCACAAGUAUGGUCCAAUCAUAUUCUUACAGCUUGGUCAAAUCCCAACUGUUGUCAUUUCUUCCUCUAAUUUGGCUAAGCAAGUGCUCAAAGCCCAUGAUCUUGCACUCUGUAGCCGACCUCAACUAUAUUCAGCCAAAUACCUAUUCUACGAUUGCACUGAUAUUGCGUUCGCCCCUUACGGUGCCUACUGGAGGAAUAUUAGGAAAAUUUGCAUACUGGAGCUACUCAGUGCCAAGCGAGUCCAAUCAUUUGGCUAUGUCAGAAAAGAAGAAGUUGCUCGUUUGGUUGCUCGGAUCGGAGAGUCUUAUCCUGACACCACCAAUCUAAGCAAGAUGAUUGGACUAUAUGCAAAUGAUGUCCUUUGUAGGGUGGCUCUUGGAAGGGACUUCUCACGAGGAGGGGAGUAUGAUCGGCAUGGCUUCCAGAAGAUGCUCGACGAUUACCAAGCGCUGCUUGGAGGAUUCAGUCUUGGAGACUAUUUUCCUUCCAUGGAAUUUGUGCACAGCUUAACAGGAAUGAAGUCUAAACUCAUCAACACCUAUAGACGUUUCGAUCAGUUCUUCGAUGGGGUCAUUAAUGAACACCGUAAUAAUUCCGAGGGAAAACUAGAGGAGCAGAAGGACCUUGUAGAUGUCUUACUUGAUAUACAGAAGAAUGGAUCUUCUGAUAGUGAUACGCCUCUUACCAUGGAUAACGUUAAAGCUGUGAUCUUGGACAUGUUUGCUGCUGGAACUGAUACAACUUUCAUAACGCUUGAUUGGACAAUGACAGAGCUGAUCAUGAAUCCCAGAGUCAUGGAAAAAGCACAAGCUGAAAUAAGAAGCAUUGUUGGGGAGAGAAAAGUUGUGCAAGAGAGUGAUCUGCUUCAGUUUCACUAUAUGAAAGCUGUGAUCAAAGAGAUCUUCCGAUUACAUCCUCCUGUCCCAGUUUUAGUCCCAAGAGAAUCCUUGGAAGAUGUUGUGAUUGAUGGGUACGAUAUCCCCGCCAAAACACGAAUUUAUGUCAAUGUCUGGGCAAUGGGAAGGGAUCCAGAACAAUGGGAAAAUCCAGAAACAUUUCAACCAGAAAGAUUUAUGGGCAGCAGCAUAGAUUUCAAAGGGCAGGGUUUUGAAUUGAUACCUUUUGGAGCUGGUAGAAGAAGCUGCCCAGCUAUCACAUUUGCAACAGCAACCGUUGAGCUUGCUUUAGCCCAACUUCUCCACAGCUUUGAUUGGGAACUCCCUCCUGGAAUAAAAGCUGGUGAUAUAGAUAAUACUGAAGCUUUUGGCAUCUCAAUGCACAGGAUAGUUCCUCUGCACGUCAUUGCCAAACCACGCUUCCAGUAAGGCAGCAAUAAAGAAGACUAUAGCGAUUCUUCUUCUUGUAAAGUAUUAUAAGAACUGAAGAUAAGCUAUGCAAGUUUUCGAAUGCAUAAAUAAAGAAUUGGCUUAUCUUGAUCGGUGCAAAUGAUUCACAUUACGAUGAAAUGUGUCCAAAUUUAACCAUCAC
RNAcentral lists this unclassified non-coding RNA (1696 nucleotides) under Hevea brasiliensis (rubber tree). The record is from RNAcentral. Lineage: Eukaryota; Viridiplantae; Streptophyta; Magnoliopsida; Malpighiales; Euphorbiaceae.